This is a non-coding RNA of Caligus rogercresseyi, 78 nucleotides long. The record is from the annotation of a GenBank genome assembly. Lineage: Eukaryota; Metazoa; Arthropoda; Copepoda; Siphonostomatoida; Caligidae.
UGCCUCCAGAAAGGAUGGAACUCUCGACAUCUGGAUUACAAGACCAGUGCUUUGCACUGAACUAUACUAAGUAGAGGC